GCUGCGAAGACAAAAAUUCGGAUUAUAUUUGUCAUUUUAUUUGUCACUGACUUUCUACCGUUUAGUAAAUACUGCGCGCUGUUGUGGAAUGCACUAGACACCGUUAUUGAAAUUUUCCAGGCAUUUAUACUGAGCGCAGAAGCUCGAUCUACAUGUUUACUAAAAAUAUUCAUAGCUUUUUUAAUUUAUUGCAAUCGCUUUAAUUGAUAGCCUAAUGAAUGAACGCCGAAAAAAAUACAAAACUGACGGGUAAAGGUUAAGGUCACUAUGACGCGAAUGCAGAGGGGCCAAUAGGGGGUGUGGACCCCAAACAAUUGUUAGGAUCAAGAAUGUAAUAGUACUCGUAUCUAUUAAAUUUGUGUUAUUCUAUUAAUAAAUUGGUGAAAGGUAUUUUCGCUAAUAAUAACGGAGUUUUGAUACAUUUUCGAUAGUAUAACGCUUCAAGUCAUUCAAAAUUAGAGUUUGUUUCCAACUUCACCCCUAAGUUUAGUGAGUAUUUUUUAAACAACCCAUUUUUUUAGUCUGGGAAGGAGGAAAUAGUCACUAGGGGUCCUACCUGUCGAAAUCAUAAUUAUGCCGUGGCACAAGAUGAAUGAGCCAGAGUUUUGUCUUGGUGAAAAAGCAUGUCAUGAAAGAGAUGGUAUACCAGUUGAGGCUACAACGCUAAGAGAACUUUUUAUUUGUUUCGCGAUCUAUCGAUGAUACCAAAGACUUUUCAGACCCGAUAAAAAAGGAAUAUUCAAAUGUCAUCAACUUUAAGAAACUUAUAAUUUGUUUAAUUUUAUUUUUAAUUUUUGCAACAGAGUUCCCUUGUAUAAAACGUUUGGAGACGACACUGGGCAAAGUCAGCAAAGGCAGAUACUACAGUUUAUGUUGUGCAAAUUCAGCUAAUCUACAAUAAUUAAAUUAUAUGUAAUGACAAUAAUUUAACUAUUACAUCGUAAUACUAUUCGCAAGAUGCGGAUUUUUUGUUUUGUAAAAGCAGUGUUAUCAUUUAAUUAAUAUUUCGCAUAUACAUUUAAAUGAAAGUAAAACUUUCUACAAUUCAAGCAGACUUCGGUUUGAAAUUUUACAGCCCGCAGCAACUAAACGGCAACGUUUUACCAUAUAAAUACUAUUUUGUUUCUAUUCAACUCCUUUCUAGAACAAUUCCAGUUUUCAAAAACAAUGUUUGUUCGCUCUCUUAAUAAUUUUAUCAACCUUUACUAUAACUUCCAAAUUAUUUAAAACAAUCUGUGACCGAAAGAAGUUUUAUCGCUUCGACGCUCAUUCUUUAUCUUCUUUUCUUCUUCAAUUCUUAUCUUCUUCGGCGGCUGAGAGUGCUUUUACAUAAAAUUCGAAUUCAUCCACCAGAUAGUGUAAGUAUUCUUUGUAACGUUUAUUCCAAUACAACACGGCUCUUAAGAGCAUCCCAUAUUACCUGCUGUUGCUGUGUUAGUGGUUCGGCCUUUUAAGUAUAUAACCGAUUAAAUCUGUAGAAUCGCUGAAUCACAGCAUCUUUAUCGCCAGCAAAGAACAAGCAAUUUGCCAAUUUGGUCGGCAGUCAGAACCUUAUUUAAGCUUCUUUACAGUUCUUCCCAUAUAUUUUAAGUAUACUUUUUUCUUGCUCCAUAGAUUCACUAUCUACACUAUUCAUAUUAGAUCCAGCAAGCACAUCUGUGACUACUUGAUUGGUUCGUUGCCGACGAAAGUUUUGAAAAUUUAUCGAGCUGUUAUUGAACGCCUCCUCAAAGCUGUUGUGACCGUUUGGCAAAGCAUUUUCAGCUACUGAGUUAUCAUUGUUGUUCUGGUUGACAUAGUAUUAUCAUCCACUUAUUCCGAAGAUAAACUCAUUAAGCAUGAAGCAAGCGGAGACAAAGAGAAGAAUAUUUAAUUUAAUAAAUAACUAUAACAUUUUUUGUUUAUUUUGCAAACCUGUAUUAGUAACAGCAACACUUUGCAUUCAAAGUACGAAGUGCGCCUAAACAUUUUCACUUUUUGAGCUGUACAGAAAGCGAUCUUUCAAGUUCCGAUGCACACUAAAUGCGUAACAAGCUUACUAAAGUUCGACAAGAAAUAAGAGGAGUUCAAGUUUAUAACGGUACAUGAUAAAGGACGACUCAGAAGAAAAACAACAAUUAAGUGUCUAUAUACGAACAUUAGGGUGUUCGUUAUUUACAAAGUGGGUUUGUUUUCUGCAAACACCUCUUAAGUUUCAGUUUUUGCUCUAAAAAAA
Molecule: long non-coding RNA, 2215 nt
Organism: Bactrocera oleae (olive fruit fly)
Lineage: Eukaryota; Metazoa; Arthropoda; Insecta; Diptera; Tephritidae
Source: RefSeq, a predicted model, not a curated record